AUUUGUUCAAUAAAUAUUUACUGAGUGCUGAGUAUUUAAAAAAUAUUACUGAGUACAAAUUACUUCAGAACUUAGCAAUUUAAAACCACAAAAACCAGGAGCUUUUUCACAGUUUCUGUGGGUCAGGAAUUCGGAAGAGAUUUGGCUGGGUGUUUUCAUUCAGGGUCUCCCAUGAAGUUGCAGUCCAAAUGCCGGCCAAGAUGCAGUCAUCUGAAGGCUGGGCUGGGGAUGGAGCCUGCUUCCUGGGCGCUCACCCACAGGGCUGGAGAAUGGAUGCAGGCUGCUGGCCAAAGGCCUCCGUUCUUUGCCACGUGGAGCUUUCCAAGCCUGCUUGAAUGUCCUUACCACAUGGCUCCUCUCACAGCAGGUGAUCCUACAGAGAGCAGGCCACAACGAGAUGCGCUUUUCUCUUUUCAUGGUUCAAACUUGCUCACUUGUGACAUCAUGAAGUUGGGUGCUCUCCAGAGCUGCAGGAGAUCCAAGAACGGGAUAAGGAAUAUAAAAAGCCAUUCAUGGGAAAGCUGCUGUCUUCAAAAGAAAAGAAUGCGUAGCAUAAAACGAUGCCAUUUAAAACUCUAAAUUCAUAGAGCAAGUGCGAUCCUAUCUUUAGGGUUUUCUUUUUUUUCUUUUUUCUGAAGAUGAGGUCUUGCUGUGUUGCCCAAGCUGGUCUCAAAGUCCUGGGCCCAAGUGAUCCUCCUGCCUUGACCUCCUAAAGUGCUGGGAUUACAAGUAUGAGCCACCGUGCCCAGCCCUUUAUGGUUUUCUGAAAAAUGAAGAGGCUAUUUAAGAAGACAGGAAUGGAUGACUAUCUUUAGUUCCUUAGUUUUAAGGAUCACCAUACCAGAUGAGGAUGUUGUCUGCCAGUGACCCUGAAGACUUUAAAGCCAGUUUUAUGCCAUAACCAUGUCUGGGGAGGCCUCGUAAUCAUGGCAGAAGGCAAAGGAGAAGCAAAAGCAUGUCUUCCAUGGUGGCAGAUAAGACAGCAUGUGCAGGAGAGCAGCCCUUUAUAAAACCAUCGGAUCUUGUGAGA
RNAcentral lists this long non-coding RNA (1030 nucleotides) under Homo sapiens (human). RNAcentral's name for it is "HSALNT0141140". Lineage: Eukaryota; Metazoa; Chordata; Mammalia; Primates; Hominidae. The record is from RNAcentral.